This 76-nucleotide transfer RNA is filed under the name Deltaproteobacteria bacterium. Its description in RNAcentral is "tRNA-Asn". It matches the Rfam family "tRNA". From Rfam's summary of the family: Transfer RNA (tRNA) molecules are approximately 80 nucleotides in length. Their secondary structure includes four short double-helical elements and three loops (D, anti-codon, and T loops). Lineage: Bacteria; Pseudomonadati; Myxococcota; Myxococcia. The record is from RNAcentral. RNAcentral also lists the same sequence under 5 other names.
UCCUCGGUAGCUCAGUUGGUAGAGCGGGUGGCUGUUAACCACUUAGUCGGCGGUUCGAGUCCGUCCCGGGGAGCCA